GACAGAGGGUGCAAACGUUGCUCGGAAUCAUUGGGCGUAAAGCGCGUGUAGGCGGCAUGGCACGUCGGGUGUGAAAGCCCGGGGCUCAACCCCGGCAGUGCACCCGAAACGACGAUGCUAGAGUGCUGGAGAGGCGGGUGGAAUUCCCGGUGUAGAGGUGAAAUUCGUAGAUAUCGGGAGGAACACCGGUGGCGAAGGCGACCCGCUGGCCAGCAACUGACGCUGAGACGCGAAAGCGUGGGGAGCAAACAGG
Molecule: ribosomal RNA, 253 nt
Filed under: uncultured bacterium
Lineage: Bacteria
Description: partial 16S ribosomal RNA
Rfam family: Bacterial small subunit ribosomal RNA
Source: RNAcentral